UAAGGUAGAGGUGCGAAUUUAAAGAGUACUACUAGGGAGUGAAAGCAACGUUGAGCUAGUAAGAAAGGGAAAUUUCGCCGAAGAGUAUAAAAUAGGCUUAAAUUUUAUAUGUCUGGGAUUGCAUAAAAUAUAUGUAAUACUGUCACAAUAAUAAUUGUGGGGUGCUAUCA
Molecule: non-coding RNA, 170 nt
Filed under: Clostridium mediterraneense
Lineage: Bacteria; Bacillati; Bacillota; Clostridia; Eubacteriales; Clostridiaceae
Description: Lysine riboswitch
Rfam family: Lysine riboswitch aptamer
About the family: Riboswitches are metabolite binding domains within certain messenger RNAs that serve as precision sensors for their corresponding targets. Allosteric rearrangement of mRNA structure is mediated by ligand binding, and this results in modulation of gene expression. This family includes riboswitches that sense lysine in a number of genes involved in lysine metabolism, including lysC.
Source: RNAcentral